This 829-nucleotide long non-coding RNA is filed under the name Phoenix dactylifera (date palm). RNAcentral's name for it is "long non-coding RNA (PDAC_LNC004204)". Lineage: Eukaryota; Viridiplantae; Streptophyta; Magnoliopsida; Arecales; Arecaceae. The record is from RNAcentral.
CCCCGCCAGAAGAAUGUUUUAUACAGGUGGACACCGUUUUACUCACACCCUCCCCAUCUGAAGGUGAGUAUGUCACACUUGGCACCACCAAGCUAUCGACGCCCGCGUGUUUCGAGCCCGGGCAACUUGGGCGGAAUUAUCGCCCCCUUACCACCAUUUGCUUGGUGCCUAAUUUUUAGCGGUGCAAAGCUCCUGUCUGAUAUUUCGCCGAUGAGCGGCAAAAGUGAAUUUUGUGAGAAAAACAGGCCCGCGAAUCAAUUUUGCAAGGAGAGGACUUUAAUUUUUAGAUUCAUAUAUGGCCUCUCUUCGACCAAAUUAUCUUUUUGUAUAUGUAACAGCAUGUUUCCUCUAUACAGCGGUCAAAAUACAUACGAUAAUAAAAAUCAAAACUAGCUUGAUGCCGAACCAAAUCCGGGAACAACGGCUGCAGCGACGACGAUGCACUCUUGAGAUUAUUGCCGUGUGUUGUAACUUUAAAAUGGAAGCAGAAGAAGAGGGAGAAGAGAAGGAGGAAGAAGAAGAGAAGAAGGAGAAGGGAAGGAGGAAGAAAGGAGGGGAAGACGUGGGAAAAAAUUCUUAAUCUUUUAUUAAAACCCUAAUCAUGAAAAUAGUCCCCUAUAUAUAGGGCCAAAUAAACACAAUUAACAUAAAACCCCCUUACACAAAAAAAUAACUCCUACUAAGCCCACAAAUAACAUAAAUAAGCCCUAAAAUGCAAACAAGCCCAGAAAUAAAAAUAAAAUAAAUAUACAAAUAAACGAAUCUGACUCAAUCCGGAGGCUCAGGAUCAUCUGUAUAAAGGGCUCUGAUGUCUCCAUCAACUCCUCUC